Molecule: ribosomal RNA, 782 nt
Filed under: uncultured bacterium
Lineage: Bacteria
Description: bacterial SSU rRNA
Rfam family: Bacterial small subunit ribosomal RNA
Source: RNAcentral
UAGUCAGAUGAGUUGCGAACGGGUGAGUAACGCGUAGGUAACCUACCUCAUAGCGGGGGAUAACUAUUGGAAACGAUAGCUAAUACCGCAUGACAAUUAAGUACUCAUGUACUAAAUUUAAAAGGAGCAAUUGCUUCACUAUGAGAUGGACCUGCGUUGUAUUAGCUAGUUGGUGAGGUAACGGCUCACCAAGGCCACGAUACAUAGCCGACCUGAGAGGGUGAUCGGCCACACUGGGACUGAGACACGGCCUAGACUCCUACGGGAGGCAGCAGUAGGGAAUCUUCGGCAAUGGGGGCAACCCUGACCGAGCAACGCCGCGUGAGUGAAGAAGGUUUUCGGAUCGUAAAGCUCUGUUGUUAGAGAAGAACGGUAAUGGGAGUGGAAAAUCCAUUACGUGACGGUAACUAACCAGAAAGGGACGGCUAACUACGUGCCAGCAGCCGCGGUAAUACGUAGGUCUCGAGCGUUGUCCGGAUUUAUUGGGCGUAAAGCGAGCGCAGGCGGUUAUUUAAGUCUGAAGUUAAAGGCCGUGGCUCAACCAUGGUUCGCUUUGGAAACUGGAUAACUUGAGUGCAGAAGGGGAGAGUGGAAUUCCAUGUGUAGCGGUGAAAUGCGUAGAUAUAUGGAGGAACACCGGUGGCGAAAGCGGCUCUCUGGUCUGUAACUGACGCUGAGGCUCGAAAGCGUGGGGAGCAAACAGGAUUAGAUACCCUGGUAGUCCACGCCGUAAACGAUGAGUGCUAGGUGUUAGGCCCUUUCCGGGGCUUAGUGCCGCAGCU